ACCUAAGCUAUCCAAUUUUUUUGAAAGUAACCCUCAUAAGCUCUGUUAAUCAAAUUUGCAAGUUUCGCUGAUAAUACCUUCUUUUUGAAAAACCCAGAAGGUGUUUUAUUAGUAACUAUGCUUACAUUU
Non-coding RNA from Arabis alpina (gray rockcress), 129 nucleotides. The record is from Rfam. NCBI's taxonomy places the organism in Eukaryota, Viridiplantae, Streptophyta, Magnoliopsida, Brassicales, Brassicaceae.